Molecule: regulatory RNA element, 99 nt
Organism: Oerskovia sp. Root918
Lineage: Bacteria; Bacillati; Actinomycetota; Actinomycetes; Micrococcales; Cellulomonadaceae
Rfam family: mraW RNA
Source: Rfam
ACGCUCCCGCAGGACGAGGCCUCCUCCCGCCCGGUCUGGCGCACUUCCCCGGUGCCAGAACGGACGCGGUGGGAGACCUGGCCCGGCGGCGCGGAACGG